UCGGACAUGGUGUACGGUACAUGUCCUCUUCGGCUAUUAUUUCGGCGGAAUGCAGUUUAAGAGGCAGUACGGGGUUCGACUCCCCGUGUUUGAA
This is a non-coding RNA of Mycena galopus ATCC 62051, 94 nucleotides long. Lineage: Eukaryota; Fungi; Basidiomycota; Agaricomycetes; Agaricales; Mycenaceae. The record is from the annotation of a GenBank genome assembly.